Molecule: ribosomal RNA, 1493 nt
Filed under: metagenome
Description: bacterial SSU rRNA
Rfam family: Bacterial small subunit ribosomal RNA
Source: RNAcentral
AGAGUUUGAUCCUGGCUCAGAACGAACGUUGGCGGCGUGCCUAAUACAUGCAAGUCGUGCGAGAAACAGAUCCUUCGGGAUCUGGAGUAAAGCGGCGAAAGGGUGAGUAAUACGUGGAUAACCUACCCCCGAGACCGGGAUAACCCAAGGAAACUUGGGCUAAUACCGGAUACGGUCCCGGAUACGCCUGUAACCGGGAUUAAAACGUACCGAAAGGUCCGUGCUUGAGGAGGGGUCCACGGCCUAUCAGCUUGUUGGUGGGGUAGCGGCCCACCAAGGCUAUGACGGGUAGCCGGACUGAGAGGUUGGUCGGCCACAUAGGCACUGAGACACGGGCCCAACACCUACGGGUGGCAGCAGUAGGGAAUCUUGCGCAAUGGGCGAAAGCCUGACGCAGCGACGCCGCGUGGGGGACGAAGGCCCUCGGGUUGUAAACCCCUUUUCUGAGGGACGAACACUGACGGUACCUCAGGAAUAAGCACCGGCUAACUCCGUGCCAGCAGCUGCGGUAAUACGGAGGGUGCAAACGUUGUUCGGAAUCACUGGGCGUAAAGGGUCCGUAGGCGGCUCGGCAAAUCGGUUGUGCAAUCCCGGCGCCUACCGUCGGAACUGCAGCCGAAAAUACCGGGCUUGAGGUCGUCAGGGGCGAGUGGAACUCCUGGUGGGGCGGUGAAAUGCGUAGAUAUCAGGAGGAACGCCGGAGGCGAAAGCGACUCGCUGGGACGAUUCUGACGCUGAGGGACGAAAGCUAGGGGAGCAAACAGGAUUAGAUACCCUGGUAGUCCUAGCCGUAAACGAUGAGGACUAAGUGGAGGGGGCUUCGGUUCUCUCUGCUGCAGCUAACGCAUUAAGUCCUCCGCCUGGGGACUACGGCCGCAAGGUUAAGACUCAAAGGAAUUGACGGGGGCUCGCACAAGCGGUGGAGCAUGUGGUUCAAUUCGAUUCGACGCGAAGAACCUUACCCGGGCUUGAAGUGCUGGUGGUACCGAUCUGAAAAGUGAGGGACCCUUCACGGGGAGCCAGCAUCAGGUGUUGCAUGGCUGUCGUCAGCUCGUGUCGUGAGAUGUUGGGUUAAGUCCCGUAACGAGCGAAACCCUUGCCACUAGUUGCUACCCUUCGGGGGCACUUUAGUGGGACUGCCCGUGUCGAAUGGGAGGAAGGUGGGGAUGACGUCAAGUCAUCAUGGCCCUUAUGUCCGGGGCUACACACGCGCUACAAUGGCGUGGACAAAGGGUUGCCAACCCGCGAGGGGGAGCUAAUCCCAUCAAACCACGCCCCAGUUCGGAUCGGAGGCUGCAAUUCGCCUCCGUGAAGUUGGAAUCGCUAGUAAUCGCGGAUCAGCUACGCCGCGGUGAAUAUGUUCCCGAGCCUUGUACACACCGCCCGUCAAGCCACCCAAGCAUGGGGUACCUGAAGUCCGUUCCCCAACUCAUUCUGUGGGAGGGUGCGGCCCAAGGUAAAACGUGUGAGGAGGGCUAAGUCGUAACAAGGUA